UUCUAUUUUCAUGUAAAAUUCUCUAUUUCUGAUUUGGUUAUCUCGAUCAUUGAAUGUGUUUCCUGGAAUAAAAAUUUAUUACAACAUCGUUUAUCUAUUGUGACUACUAGAAGGGUCUUUUAUCACUUGAAUGCUUAGACAUGAACUCUGAAAAAAUUGUUUGACCAUCCAAAUUGUUUACCAAUACGUCUAGUGUGGGACAAUAGUGCACUAUCAAUAAUAAGACACAACAAACGUUCUAACCAAGAAGUACACACUAGGAAGACAAAGGUAAAGACUUAAAAUCUCAGAUGAUCCGUCUUCUUUCUCCCUCAACUUCAAUCUCUUCUCCCAGUUCUUCUCUGUCGCUCUCUGCCUUUAUAUCUUUUUUUUUUCUAUGGCAAAUCUUCUAUCGCCGCCCUCUGAUUCUCUGAAGAUUCCACAGCGUAUUUCAUCUUUUUUUUUCUUUUUUUUUCAAAAACAAAUAAAGUAUUUUUUCUACAUAUUUCUUUCACUACAAUUUAGAAAGACUUAUUCAAUUUGAACUUAAUCAAAAGGAAUUUUAAAAAAAAUUGUUAUUUAAUUUAUCCCAUAUAAACUGAAACAUCCUGCUUCCCUUUUAUUCGUCCUUAAACAUAUUCACAUACUUACCUUGAGUUUUGAGAAACUUGAAGCUUUAAUUUCUUUGUCAUGAUAAUGAUCACUGUUUUUUUUGUGAAGAACAAUAUUCAAGCGGUAUUAUUCUCAUACUUACCUUGAGUUUUGAGAAACUUGAAGCUUUAGUGUCUUUGUCACGUUUUUGUAUAGGUUCUCAUACUCUUUUUUUUUAAUAUGCUUUAUCGGAUGAUCAGAUAGGUUCUGGAAAUAACGCAUUUAAUGCUAUAGAGUGGAUUAGCUACCACACUAGCUGAUUUGAGUUUGUAAUACAUGCAUUCCGACUAAGACUAGGAAUAACCAAAUCGUA
This 943-nucleotide long non-coding RNA is filed under the name Brassica rapa (field mustard). Its description in RNAcentral is "long non-coding RNA (BRAP_LNC005641)". Lineage: Eukaryota; Viridiplantae; Streptophyta; Magnoliopsida; Brassicales; Brassicaceae. The record is from RNAcentral.